Pipistrellus kuhlii (Kuhl's pipistrelle) is the source of this 582-nucleotide long non-coding RNA. RefSeq lists it as uncharacterized. Lineage: Eukaryota; Metazoa; Chordata; Mammalia; Chiroptera; Vespertilionidae. The transcript is spliced from 3 exons. The record is from RefSeq and is a predicted model, not a curated record.
CCUACCAGCUGUCACUUUCCUUCCUCCACCCAGAGUCAAAUAAGUUCCAGAUGCUGAGAGAGUUGUGGGAAUCUCUUCAGUGUCACCGGGAGGAGGGGAACUUAAAUUCCUCUGGCUAGCAGUCACCAUCUUGUUUCUCUGUUUCUUUCCUUUGCCCCCAUUGCUUUUCUUUCACCAUCAGAGAGUGAAGUCACUUCCUGACUCCACUGGGUCUUCAAGUUCCUCUGCCCGCUAGGAUUUCAAGACCUUUUUAUGGAUUUAGGCUUGCUCAUAUUGGGACAAAUCAAAGAAGACUGAAAGAAGGAAGAUAAAUCGUACCCCAGAACGCUGGAAAAUUCUGAAAUUAGAGGUACCCAACGCCCCCUGAAGAAGGGAGUAAGAGGUGCAGUGACCACCGAGCAGCUGUGAGCCCCAGAACGCUGGUCCCAGGCAGCACGAACACUUGGACUCAAACGAGCACACCACCACACGGUGAAAAGGAGAUAACUACAUAACCAGACAUCCUGAAAAGAGAGGUCAUGGGGAGACAAAGAAACAGCCCGCACAUGAAAGAAAAGCAAGCAUCACCAGAAAAGGAAGUAA